CCUCUUCCAUGUCAACAUUCAAAAUCAAUUCAGCUAUGAACAGACCAUGUCCCUUCCACUUUGGGAAAAGAUACAACUCAUAUCAGAAACUUUGAUCAAGACAUUUUGAAACUCAUGUGUAACAUAGAUGAAAUCCAGCAAAUCUACUCCAGGGUUUGAGAACAAUCUGAGAGAGAACCUGCAAAUAAAGGAGAAUCGUGGUUCAACAAUGGGGAAGACAAUGGUGAUGUGAGAGAGAGAUAGUGUAGAGAGAAAUAAGAUACUAUGUGGUGAUUAUGGGAAAGAAUAAACUGAAAGAAUGAGAGAGAAAAAAAUAUUAGACAACGUAUUUAAUGGCUAACGGUAGGAAGUGGCCAAAAAUACAUAUUUUGCUAUAAAAACUAAAAGGUAGCUAUAGAAAAUAAUAUUUUAAAAAGAUUUUUAUUUAUAAUAAAUAGGGUGUAAAGCUUUUCUAUAGGAGGUAAAAUUUCCUAAAAAGAUAAAGAGGUACUACGGAGUACUCCCUCCGGUCCACUGUAAGUGGAUUUUUGGCCUUUUUUGUAGUUCACAAUAUCUUAUUGUUUCAAAUAUCAAGAAGAAAUUAAUUUCUUCUUUCCAAGGUUGCUCUUGGAGUAAAGAGCCUAGGAGUCGUUUGUUAUAUUUCCAAUGAGCAAAUUAAGGUUAAUAUGAUCAAUUUUAUUAUUAACUAAUGUUAAAAUAUAAAUUUCUUAAUAUGUGUUAAAAAAGUCAAAAAAUGAGUUAAAAUGGACCGGAGGGAGUACCUUUUUAGCGAUAGAUAGAGUCACAGAGGCGGAUCCAGGAAUUUGGGAGGAUGGAUGCACUAUUACGAAGCGGUGGAUUUUUUAGGGAUUCAAUCUUUAGUUCUACUAUUGCAUCCAUUAUACUUUUGGAAUUAUAAGUUCAAAUUUAAUAUUUAUAUAGUAAUUUUCUUACAUCUAUAUCUGUAUUCUUUACUCCCUAUCGAAAAUAUUGGGAUCAGUUGAAUCCAUUGACUAUAUGCUACAUCAUUCAUUGCUACUAGUUUUAAUAUGCACAUUUCGUUUAACCAUAUAAAUUUUAUGGUAACAAAAGAAUAUAGGAAUUUCAAUGCGUGAAAUCAUAAAAGAAUAAAAGAAUAGGAAUUUCAAAAAGUGACACGUGACAUGUCCAUCUCCCGUGGGUGCAUAGUUUUAAGAAAGGAUAAAUACAUAAGUACACCCUUAAACUUGUCCAAAUUUUUUACAUAGAUCUUUGAACUACAACUUGUUCCUAUUGAACAAUUAAUCCAAGCUCAAGUGUACCAAUUACACUCAAUUCAGUAACAUGGAACUGUGCGUGUAAGACACAUUCUUUAAGAGCGUGAGAGGCCAUAUUUUCUUUUUAAUUUUUUUUUUACGUUCUCCUUCCUCCUACCUCUCCCCUCCUAGAUCUCCACCACCAUAUACCACCACCCUCCGGCAUACUUACUUCUUGCCGCGAUAUACUACCCCUUCUCCUUGCCCUUUUGUUUUCCGUCACUCCUACCACUUCUACCACCACAUUCAUUCUUUUCCUUUCCUCUUUUCUAUGUUCAUACCAUCGCUGCCGCUGCCACCAACUACAGUUUAAUUUAGAGAAAUGCUGAAGGUUGGAAGUUUUUUAGACAUAAUACUAAUGACGCACUGAAUGUAUUUAAAUGCAGUACGUUAAAAAUGAAUUCCAAACAUACCGUGAAAUAUUUAGCAGUGAACAUUAAAGGGAUGUCAUUUCAAUAAUCCUAAAAGCAAAAUCCAAACAUAAUUUGAAUACAAGCUCAUUCUUCUACCUCCAGUUUCGCUUCUCCAACAAUCACUAUCCCUGCUGCUUCUCCAACAAUCACUUCCCAGCCGCUGCCAUGUAAUCCCCAGAAAUUUACAACCUUCCACCAUCGUAUUGUCUUUAAUAUGUUUCUCGAUGUAAAGAGGAAGAAGGAAGAAGACAUGCUAAAGUAGUGUUUCCACCGCCGGCCACCAUCAGUCAAUGUUACUCUUCUUUUUUAAUUUUCACACAUUGACCGUUUUAUUUUCUUCCUUGACGUGUCAAUUUUUCAUUGGUUUGAUCUCCCAUGUUAUUGGCAAGUGAUAUUCACGCACUCUAGUUUAUUAAGAGUUGUCAAAUUUGUGUUCAAUUGGUACAUAUUUCAUAGAGAUCAAAGUGUUUAAUAGGAAUAAGGCUUAGUUUGAGUGUCCAAGUGAAAAAUUUGGACAAGUUUAAGGGGCCAUGUAUGUAUUCAACCUUUUAAAAAAAUAAAAUAAUUAACAUGAGAUUUGAACUCAUAAUUCACUGUCCAGUAAUCAUUGCAUUAUAUGAUACUUUGAGCUUGGGUGUACACACAUAUAUUUAGUAUUUUUAAAAAAAUAUAAUAUUACUAUACAUGAUUUAGGGAGGGGAGCAUGAGUUCACAUGCCUCAUGGAUCCUUCCCUAGAUACGCCCCUGGAUAGAGAUGUUAUCCAUAGGAUUAAAACCGUAUGGUUGAAAUGAAAAAGUUCUUCUAGGUUAUUAUGUGACAGAAGGAUGCCUACCAAGCUGAAAGAUAUGUUCUAUAGAACAGUGAUAAGACCGGCUAUGUUAUAUGGUAGUGAAUGUUGGGUUGUUAAAGUUAGCAUAUUCACAAGAAAAGUGUUCCAAAAAAUAUUGUGAAUUCUAAGAAGGAUAUGCGUCUCACACAAGAUUAAAUGAGAUUAAAAUAAUUAAAUUCACUAGAAGGUACAUGUAUCACACAUUGAUGAUAAAAUAAGAGAAGAUUGUUUAAGAUGGUUUGGUUAUAUCAUGUGUUGACCUACAGAUACAUUGGUCUGUAGGAAUAAACUGCAAUAGGUAAAUGUGUUAAAAGGGGAUGAGGUGGACCUAAGUUACAUGGAAGAAAAUUGUUUCGAAAGAUCUAUAUAUCAUUGUAAGCACUAUAGAUUGAGCUAAAGAGAAAGCACAACGGAAGAGAAAAAUCCAUAUAGGUGAUGCCUACUAAUUGAGAAUAGGUUUUAGACUUGGUAGAUUAUUAUUAUUAUUAUUAUUAUUAUUAUUAUUAUUAUUAUUAUUAUUAUUAUUAUUAUUAUUAUUAUUAUUAUUAUUAUUAUUAUUAUUUGCUACUACUAAUAAUAAUUUUUAAUUGCACUUCUAAUUUAUUUUAGUACUAAUGAUGAUAUAAGUUAAGCUGAACGAAAAGAAUAAAGAUUUUAUAUCGCCGACCUCAAAUUGCUUGGAAAUGACACGUUGUUGUUGUUAUUAUUAUAAAUCAUACAUAGACUAUUUUGCAAAUUAUAUUAUUGAAGUAUAUAUUAUUGACAUUUAUGUUUGUUGAUUGUUUAUAAUCUGAUUGAAUGAAGAAAAUCANNNNNNNNNNNNNNNUGGUGAAACUACGAAACGUUUAGGAAUCGGAAACAAAUUACCAAAUCAAAUAAAAAAAUCAAUUUGAUUUGGUAUUUUGUUUCCAAAUGGUUCUAACUCAUUCCAUCAAGUUAAUUUAAUUAAGAAUGUCAUGCUAGUAGUAAUAGCUGGGUAAUAUACCAAAACUGCUCAAAAGAGGGAAUAAGUAGAUUAUAGAUAGAAUUUGAUCGUCUUGUGCAAGUUAUAUAUAAAGAUCAAUUAUGAAGUACGCUAAAAAAUCAGCUUAGAACAUGAAUUAAUUAUAUAAAUUGUUGAAGAAAGAAGCUGGAAUAUGAAAAGAAAACCCGAAACAAUACAAAAAAGCUAGAUUAAAUUGCUUUUUUAAUCAUACAUUAGCUUUACUCUUUAUUCGCAAAUCAGACAGUGCUGAUUUAAUUUUGAGUAUUUAUUUCUUGAGCUUGAUAAUCCCUUGCUUUAUACUUUAGAUGGAGGAACCAUCAAGGCAUAUCCAUUCACCAACGAACAUUUUGUCACAAUUGAGGUUAGGGUUGAAAGCAGUAAAAACCUCAGAGGUCACACUGAAAUUUUCCAUAAUGCUGAAGCAUGUGUCUCCAAUAUUUGCACCAUAAAUCUUAUUGCACACUGGAACAGAAUUUGUUCCAGUUUCAGCUGACCCAUCAAGAAAAUAAUAUAUUAUUUAAUAAAAUUUACUUUUUAUAAUUAGGGUCAUGGGUCUUUUUGGGCAUAAUUAAUACUAGCAAGGUAAUAUAUUUAGGUUUGAUACUUACAUGAAAGUAUUCUACUUUCUGCCACGUAAACGGAGAGAAGGAACAACAAGAACAAAGCUGAAAAGAACGACUGAUACUUUGUAGUUGGCUCUUGCCAUUUCUGUUGUUUAAUUGCACAAAAACCGAUUUUCUGUUCGUCCCUAUUCCUUUAAUCGUUGGAUUGGUGGAU
This 4279-nucleotide long non-coding RNA is filed under the name Nicotiana tabacum (common tobacco). RNAcentral describes it as "long non-coding RNA (NTAB_LNC008069)". Lineage: Eukaryota; Viridiplantae; Streptophyta; Magnoliopsida; Solanales; Solanaceae. The record is from RNAcentral.